This 28-nucleotide non-coding RNA is filed under the name Homo sapiens (human). Lineage: Eukaryota; Metazoa; Chordata; Mammalia; Primates; Hominidae. The record is from RNAcentral.
UAAAAGGUUAAAUGUCCCCACAGGUAGC